Molecule: long non-coding RNA, 1406 nt
Organism: Pseudophryne corroboree (corroboree frog)
Lineage: Eukaryota; Metazoa; Chordata; Amphibia; Anura; Myobatrachidae
Exons: 3
Source: RefSeq, a predicted model, not a curated record
GUGCGCAAAAAACCCAUCACAGGCAGGACUCCCACCACGCAGGGCCAAGAUGAGGAUGAUGGUGAUGCAGGAACAUCCACACCGCGACACAUUUCGCAAAGGUGCGCUCCCCAACUCGGAAACACAGGCCUCAGAAGAGUCACCGUCCUGAUGUCCCCACUACACAAUCCGCGUUUCCACCACAACGCUGCAUAUCGAAUGUGUCAUCACGGCUCCCUGUCGACCUUUUGGAGAGUCCGCCAACACAGGACCCACAAUCCCCACAGCUGCCUGAUGCUGACAACAUGCCUCAGGAUACCCAGCAGGACACAGAAAUGGAGGAAACCUUUAUCCUUCAACUCCAGCCAAUAGACCCAACCCGACCUACCUUGCCACCUGUGAGUAAGCCUCCACCACAAAGUACACCUGCACCACAAAUGAGUCCAACAACACCACAGGCUCAAAUACAGGAUCAGGCAUUUUGGGACAGUUGGGCAACCCAACAGGAAAAUAAUCUUGAGUGUCUGCGCAGACAAACCCAAUUUCUGGCAAGUCUGCCACAUCAGCUACCAAGUAUAAGUCGUAAUAGUAGCCGAAUAAAUGUUAAAGUCAGUCGAAUUGCAAAUACUAUGGAGCAAAUGCGUGCUGAUAACAUACAUAUGAUGAACACUUUCCAAAGAAUCAUGGAUGAGCAACACCGACAACACCAAAACUACAUACACAUUCUGGAAAAUAACCAAAAGAUUACUGAAAGCCUAAGCCGCAUAAUAGAAAAUCACACGGCAGCAACCACAGACCCGAAACUCUCAGUAACCUGAGCCACAACAUGUUUGCUACAACCUCGACAACCAAGCACCAGCUCGGGAAACACAAUGCCAAUCAUGACCCCAGUUACCUCCCCAGUAAGGAGAUCCAGCCGAACACGGCAAACGUGCCUGGGCAAACCUGCAGCCUCCAAAGUGCCACCCAAAAAAAUUAGACUCCCCCUAUGCAGGUUCAAUCUGUUUAGGAGGAGAAAACACUGUUAGUUGCACUGUAUGAUCAAAACAGAAAUGGAGCUUUGAACAUAAUUUACAACACGCUUUCUGUUAUAUGUUGAAAGUUUGAAUGACUGUCAGUGUAACAGGACCAUUCAGUCAGUUAUUUUAUAAUUUUCAAAAAAUUUACAUACCCUCAUGAGUAACCUGAUUUGUUACUGCCACAAAUAGAGAUAUGAUUAUGUUUUUUGGUAUGAUACAAUUUAGACAACAUUGGUCAGAGAUAUUUAUGGCCUUACUCUAUUGGCAUAAUGGCUUGGUCAGUAACCAUAAAAUCUGACGGCCAAAUUACAAUAAAAAUAUGCUUCAUUACAGAAUGGUCAUCAUCCUCCUUCUUUGCAGGCAUAAUUAAAAACAAUACUCAAUAUUUUUUGGUCUGUAACCAGAUAU